This 91-nucleotide transfer RNA is filed under the name Xylaria bambusicola. Its description in RNAcentral is "tRNA-Pro". It matches the Rfam family "tRNA". Rfam says of the family: Transfer RNA (tRNA) molecules are approximately 80 nucleotides in length. Their secondary structure includes four short double-helical elements and three loops (D, anti-codon, and T loops). Lineage: Eukaryota; Fungi; Ascomycota; Sordariomycetes; Xylariales; Xylariaceae. The record is from RNAcentral.
GGUCUGGUGGUCUAGUGGUAUGAUUCUCGCUUAGGGUUAACCCUAUAGCUUUGUUUGCGAGAGGUCCCGGGUUCAAUCCCCGGCCAGACCC